GGAGAGGUGGCAGAGCGGACGAAUGCGGCGGUCUCGAAAACCGUUAGGUCCUUUUUGGGCCUCGGGAGUUCGAAUCUCCCCCUCUCCG
Molecule: transfer RNA, 88 nt
Filed under: Candidatus Omnitrophota bacterium
Lineage: Bacteria; Pseudomonadati; Candidatus Omnitrophota
Description: Candidatus Omnitrophica bacterium (groundwater metagenome) tRNA-Ser
Rfam family: tRNA
About the family: Transfer RNA (tRNA) molecules are approximately 80 nucleotides in length. Their secondary structure includes four short double-helical elements and three loops (D, anti-codon, and T loops).
Source: RNAcentral